This 431-nucleotide long non-coding RNA is filed under the name Lathyrus oleraceus (garden pea). RNAcentral describes it as "Pisum sativum (pea) long non-coding RNA (PSAT_LNC011808)". The record is from RNAcentral. Lineage: Eukaryota; Viridiplantae; Streptophyta; Magnoliopsida; Fabales; Fabaceae.
UAUUCUUCUGUUUAAACUGGUGGAAGCAGAGGUUCAACGCCGUGAAUCGGUGUUGCUCUAUUCGAUGCACCGUGAUUUGGGGAAGGUGAAGUUUCUCACAUGCAGAGACGGAAAGAUCUAUGUAGUUUCAGCACUGAGAUUUGGGGACUCGCCGUCUCGUCCUUGCUCCGCCGUUUCUACCGCCGUCGUCGGUGGCGAGAACCGACGCGGUUAGGUUCUUCGCCGCGAUACUAUCUUAUUUUUCUUCUGGAUAUGCUGAGGCGUAGAAAUGUGAGGAAGAUGAAUUUUGUGUUCCAACUGUUUGUUUGGUUUUCAAUUAGUAUAUAUUUAGGUUAAUUAAGUUUGUAACUAGCGUAAUUAGAGGGUUAGGUGUUAUUUAGAAUAAUUAGUAAUAAGUAGGAUUGAUAGGAUAUAGUUAGAGUAAUGCUAGG